GGCUCAGAUUGAACGCUGGCGGCAUGCCUUACACAUGCAAGUCGAACGGCAGCGGACCUUCGGGUGCCGGCGAGUGGCGAACGGGUGAGUAAUAUAUCGGAACGUACCUUUCAGUGGGGGAUAACGUAGCGAAAGUUACGCUAAUACCGCAUAUUCUGUGAGCAGGAAAGCAGGGGAUCGCAAGACCUUGCGCUGAUUGAGCGGCCGAUAUCAGAUUAGCUAGUUGGUGAGGUAAAGGCUCACCAAGGCGACGAUCUGUAGCGGGGUCUGAGAGGAUGAUCCGCCACACUGGAACUGAGACACGGUCCAGACUCCUACGGGAGGCAGCAGUGGGGAAUUUUGGACAAUGGGCGCAAGCCUGAUCCAGCCAUGCCGCGUGAGUAAAGAAGGCCUUCGGGUUGUAAAGCUCUUUCGGCCGGGAAGAAAUCGCACAGGUUAAUACCCUGUGUGGAUGACGGUACCGGAAUAAGAAGCACCGGCUAACUACGUG
Molecule: ribosomal RNA, 490 nt
Filed under: uncultured bacterium
Lineage: Bacteria
Description: bacterial SSU rRNA
Rfam family: Bacterial small subunit ribosomal RNA
Source: RNAcentral